Long non-coding RNA from Brassica rapa (field mustard), 9547 nucleotides. RefSeq lists it as uncharacterized. NCBI's taxonomy places the organism in Eukaryota, Viridiplantae, Streptophyta, Magnoliopsida, Brassicales, Brassicaceae. The record is from RefSeq and is a predicted model, not a curated record.
AAAUAAAAAGGUUAAAAUAAAUAAAUUAAAAAGUAGUAAUUAAAAAAAUAUAUUUUUAACAUUCUCAGCAAAAUACUAAACCCUAAAUCCUAAUCCCUAAUCCCUAAACCCUAAAUCCUAAACCCUUGGGUAAACCUUAAACCCUUGGAUAAAUCCUAAACUUCAAAUCAAAAACACUAAACACUCAAGGGUUUAGGGUUUUAAGAUUUAGUAUUUUUGAAUUAGAGUAUGAAUUAUCCAAGGGUUUGGAGUUUGCCCAAGGGUUUAUAGGGUUUAUGAUUUAGGGUUUAGGGAUUAGGAUUUAGGGUAUAGUAUUUUGCUGAUAACGAUAAAAAUUUUUUUUUUUUUAAAUUCGUUUUUCCCUAACUACUAUUUUUUCUAAUUUUUUAACUUUUUUAUUUUAAAAACAUAAUAUAUCUUGACAAUAUUUUGUUUCUUUUUCUUAAAGAUAUCGAAUUUGAAAUAAUGAAAUCCUAUUGGUUGGUGAACCUAGAGGUUCACCCUAGGGGGUGGACCCAAAAAUAACUCUAUAAUGUUUAUACACGUGAAAUUUAACUAAAUGGGACCCAUAUAUAAUGUGCUGGUGAGAUUAAUAUGGAGUUUAAAUGUUUAGCUUUCAUUGGUUUGCAUUUAAGUUGCUAAUAUAUUAUGAAUAUUCUCUUAAUUUGAUUGAAUUUUUAAAGCAAAAACCAGUGGCACAACUUGUAAUUAACAAAGGUAAUUAAAGGUUAAUUCUCAUUUGUAUUUCAGCUUUAAUGGUUUAGAUACCUAUAGUCUACAGUGUACACACGCUUCAUGUGGAUCCGAUCGCUAAGUUCUGCAAUUGAUUUCUUAUUUAAAAGAGUUGCUUUAGGGUAAUUUGAGCAUAACAAAUUUAUCACCGUUGUCGGGGAACAUUAGAUUUGCCAUUAGAUUUUGUGGACAGAUUUAGUCUAGGUUUUAGUUUUUAUUUUUACUUGUAAAAUUUUCUUGUUUCUUUCAGGUUUAUGUCCAACAACACCAGAAGCAACAAGGAAAUAGAACUUUUAUUUUUGGAUCCUGCAAGGUUUGAAUGUACAAUCCGCGGAUCAUAUAUAAUGAAAUGGACUUUGAAUCUAAAGACUUAAAACCGGAAUCAUAUAUACAUAGGCAAAUGGUAAGGCCGCGGAUCAGCUUGGGCCCAAGGGCCGGGAUCGGGUCAUUACACCAUGUCCAUUGCUUCUUCACUUGGAAAGAUGAAUUGGAAUAUCCUUCCUUCCAUAACCCGACCAUGUACAAGACCCUCCAGUCCCAAAACUCUAGGCAUGGUUGCAAUAAUGCCUCUCAGAUUUUGUUUUUGCGGCAUAGUUGGGCACUCCACCAAGAUGAAACGAUUCUCCUCAGCUUCAGAGGGUAGGACAAGGGAGCAUCAUUACUACCAAGAAAAAUGUCUUGAAUCACACGUCUAAUGUUUUCUGUCAUAGUGUCUGUAGUAGGAAAAUAAGAUUUGGAAAUAGCAAAAGUUUGAGUGCGGAUAAAGAAAUUUCCCAAGGCCAUCUACAAAUAGCCUUUACAGUUUUCAAUAGCACACACUCAUCACGUUGGGAAAGUGGUUCCCCCAUGGAAGUACAAAGCAUAGUGGGAGUACAACAUGUGUAAAACCCACAUUCAAAAAAUCUAAACCCUUCAACCACUAAGAUCGUGGUGAGAAAAUAUAGGAUCUGGCUCACUUUCGAAAUCGUCCAGAAAAUCGCCAAAACUGUUUUGUAAACGCCAUCAAAUUAGAAUUAUUUAUAUUUACAAAAAAAAAAAGAGAUUACAGUUAUUAAUGACGUGGAUUUGUUAAUAAUUUUAAUCAUUUUUAAUUAUAAUUAGUCACAUUUAAAAAAAUUUAGCCAAGGUUAUUUAUUGAAAUUUACUAGGUGUUUACCAACAUUUGAAUAAUUUUCAAAACUUGUAUGAUAUUCUAGUCCCUAUCACAACUUUUCUAUACUUAUUGAGUAAUAGCCUCUGUAUAUUAUGUAAAGUAUCACAAAAAUUAUCAAAAUUUUACAUAUAUUUCGGUUGUUAUUGUCACCAUUCAAAUACUAUCUUGCAUUGUUUAUUUUACGUAAAAUAAACUUAUUCAGCAUGAUGAAUUUAUUCAAAUGUACCACAAUAAAACUGACUUCUACUGUGACACCUCGAUUUACAUAAUAAAAUAUUACGAUAAAUAAAUAGUUCUGAUAUCAAAAAUGUGACACCGGUCACUUUUGAAAUAGUAAAAUAAUAUGAUAAAUGAUAAAUUCUGAAAUCUCCAUUUAUAAAUAUUUGAAAGUCAACGUCCACGCUGGAAAUCCAGUAAAUAAAAUAAACGUCUGAAAAAUAAAAACAUCACAAAGCCUAAAGUCUGAAAUGUAUAAAUAAGUAGAAACGUCUGAAGCCCAAAGGCCUGAAAGCCCAAUAACACCCCAAGCACCAAACCGAUGUAAUCACUUUUGAUCGUGAGUCUCACCUAAAAUGGAAAAAAAGAAGGAGGGGUAAGCAACAGGGGAGUUACCCAGCGAGGUAUGGGAUGCUAAACCGUAAACCACUGACUCAGUUCAUAACACUAUAACUAUGUAGGCCUAGCUCUAGCAUGAAACAAACACGGUGCCUACACGACACAGAACAAUCAAUAUAUGCCUAGAGCACUAUUCGUCGAAAGCGGCGGAGACGAUUCCCGGCGCGGCGGAGACGAUUCCCGGCACGGCGCGUGGCUUGCCCGCGGAAGUGAAACUUCCAGAGGUUCUAGCGGCUUCGUCCAGACUCCGAUUGCGGCGUGCUCGGUGGAUACAGCUUCUUCUUGACGAGAGGAACAUGAUCACGGCUUUGCAUGCGCGAGAUUCUCAAUGGUUAGGAAAUUAUGGCCGAUUUACUGAACGGACGAAAACAAAGCUCAAAGGCAUGGCGGUUUCCGGCGAUUGUCAGCUGCGGCGAACGGUGGUGAUGAGCACAAUGUGCAGUGGCUCCAGCUGUGGCUCAGUCUCUCUGGUGGCUCCAUCUCUACAAAGGUUUCCCAUCUCCAGAGCCAGGCUUGACCCCCAUUCAUGCGAAACAUUUGAAUGGGGCCCCCACUUUUGUGGGCCCCCUUUUAAAAAAAAAAUGUAUUUUGUAUACAAUAAAUGUAUAAAUGUUUAAUGUAAAAUAUAAAAAAUGAUAAAAAUAAACAAAUUUUAAAAAUUAUAAUUAUAUAAAAAAAUUAUAAUAGACUAAAAAUGUUCUUUUAAAAUUUUAAGUAAACAAAAAAUGUUUUAUCUUAAAAAAAAUUCAAAAAAAAAUCUUUAAAAAAUUAAUUUUUUUUUUAUUUUGGAUAGGGCCCCGGAAACUCAGGUCCGGCUCUGCCCAUCUCUUUCUCUUAAUGCUCUCUCUCUCUCUAAUUUUCUAACUUCUGAUUUUUUUUUAAUUCUUUGCAGGUGGAGAAACCAAGGCUGGAUGGUUUUUUAUAGAGAAAGAUUGGGACUUAGGAUAUGUGCAUAUGCUUUAGCAGGCUAACAAACUCCAAGACCGAAAUUGGGUCGUUACAUUCCACAUCAUUUAAAGCCGCUAUUACCAUUUAGAACGUUAGCCAUGCAUUGUAAAUGCCGGUAAACCGGACUGAUGUAAACGAUAUAAUAAAAGCGAAGUUAAGGAAAUAGACGAAUAUAGAAAACGAAUACGAGAACGAUAAGAAAUCGUAUUCGCAACGAGACAUGGAGGCGAGAUAUGAUCUCUUUCCUUAACUCAAAAUAUUCGCUCCGUUAGUGAGACGGGACUGUAUGAAUAUAGAGUCCCAGGAUACAACCAUGGCAGACGAAUCACGCCUCACUCGUGAUCGCCCUAUCGAACUAUAAACUCUACGAAACACUCUCGUUUUUAUGACUUACGCUAAGGGAAUUUUGAUGCUGGUUUCGAUCUGAAAAAGUUGAAGAAAAUGAGAAGAGGAGAGUCCAUAUUUAAAGAGAAGACUAGGAACGGUUUUUCGAAACUGUUGCGAACGUUUUCCGAAAAUCUCGCAAAGAUUUCGGAGUGGAACGUUGAGUAGCUUUCUCCGCAAGUUUCUCUCUUGUUGACUCGUACUGAUCCAUUUCGAACAGAUAAACUUUGUGUUGUUUUUAAACGAACUACAUGUCGUUUAUACACAAAUGUCAUGCUUUUUUUAGAAAUAAAAUGGCAAAGCGUUGAGCUUAACUUGGUCCAAAAAGAAUAAUUCUUAUCGGGCCAAAGGCCCUCCAAGCCCAAGCCCAAGCCCAAGCCCAAGUCCACGCCGAGCCGAGCCGAGCCGAGCCGGCCGGACGGCGGCGGCGGCGUGCGCGUGGGGAGCUUUCUUCUCUCUCCAAGCUGUUUAAGCUUUCAUGGUAAGUGAACAUAUAUAUAUUGCUCAACUUCUCUUCCUCUAAACGAUGUGGGACAAGUUCCCUUACAUCAUAAAUAAUGAUUCUUUGGGCUGUUGAAUACACAGGCCCAAGUCAUUUGCUUUUCACAUAUUUCAUUAAAGCCUAAAGGCUAUUAAUGGAUCCAACAAUCCCCCACAUGAAUAGAAAUGACUCUUCUAGACAUUUUUAGACUAAAUGUAGACUCGAUAGACUCUAAAAAGAAAAAAACUAUACUUAUUCUAAUCUGGACUAGACUAGACAGACUUAUCGAAAGUGUUUGCAAAAAAUUCACUGUGUUUGAGUUGGUGGCAUUUUUAAGCCUUGAACUACUCAUAGUUAAUAUCUGUCGGGUUUACUUUACCAGAAGGUGAACAUGAUGUCUUGAACCAACCGGUGUUUUAUGUAGACCGAGACAACAGGCAUAACGCAGCUUCAUUUUCUCGUAGAACUUAGUUCUCUAUUGUGUUCAUUGUGGCCCUCACUACAAAAAAAUAGUUAUAUUGUGACCAAAUUAUUUGUCACAAUAAAACACAAUUCGUCACAAUAAAAAUAUUGUGACAUAUUUGUGACAAUUUCAUUGUGGUUACAAUACGGUCGUCACAAAUUUUGUUGGUAACAAAAAACAUUACAAUGUUACGACCAUUACAUAUAGUAACUAUUCCGUCACAAAUAGUAACCAUAUAUAAAAGUAAUGAAAAUGUUACAAUUACCAACUACAAUUUAACGUAACAAAGUUGUCAUAUUUUGUGACUAUCACAACGUGCUAAUUCCGUCUCUGAUUACCACUGAAAUAUAGUCUCUAACCGUCACAAACUUUGUAAAAAAAAAAAAAAAACCGUCACAAACUAAUACUAGUAAAGAAUCAUCACUAAUCCGUCUUCAUUUGCGACUCUUUUAGUUGCUUUAAUUUUGUAAUACUUUAUAACUAAUAUAUAGUUACAAAUUCAAAUUAAAUUUGUUAUACCCCAUCUAUAAACUUUUGACUUAAUUAGUUAACAAUUUGUCAUCACGAUUAAUUCAGAAUUCACUAAACUAUUGCUUUAUUUUUAUAGUUAAUAUUUGUAAUAAUAGUGAAAGAAUACAAAAGUAACUAGUAUUUGAAACUAAAUUAAUAUAAACAAUUUUAAAAGAAUAUUAUAAUAUCGACAAAAAAUUAUAAUAUAUGCUACUACAUUCAGCUUCCGGUACUGGGCUGCGGUCGAGAGAAAACAGUUAGGGUUUCCUGAAUUUUUAUCUUCGGUUGAUUCUUGCACAGGAAUCGAAAGUUAUGGCGGCUAAGGCAUACAAACUCUUGCAAUGACAGAACUCCAUGAUGUGUUCUCGAUUGGUGUCCAUCUCAAAACAAUGGCUCUAAUAUUCUCUGCCUUUGUCUGACCUCCAGCUGAUUGCCCAGUUCUUUCAAGAUCGAUCUCUUCCUCUCCUUAUUAAAAACCCAACCGCGAGACACACAUACCACCACAACACCAGAAACGAGGGUGGUGCCCAACAUCGGAAACGCACAUCUCUCACUUUUUUCUAUCUCUCAUUCUCUCUAAGGUGGUGGCUGCGGCUAUUCUCUUGGAGUGUAUAUAUAUAUAUAUAUAUAUGCACACACGUGUCCUCAUUAUUGAUUAGGGUUAUAGACUUAUAGGUAAUGGGCUGUAAUUAGUUUUGAGUUUGGCUUAAUGGAUCGAUCAUACAUAGCAUCAUUUAUUUUCAAUAUGUUUCAGCUUUGAAUUCUAUCUCUUUUCAUUUUUACAUAUGACCGAUAUCUAAUAAGAAAGGUAUAUGCUGUUCAUAUCAUUUUAAACAUACAUCUAAAAAAUAGUGACAUCUAAAAUAGAUAGUAAAUAACCAUAUUUUAAAUUAGUAUGAAAUGAAGUAAGUUUUAAAAUACUGAAGUAUAUAAAAAUAUAUACAUAUCAAGUAAAAAGUAUCAAAACUAUAUUUUUUUAAUCACUGACUUUAUAAAAAUAUAAUUAAAUCAAUUUAGAAAUCUAUACUAUACUAAAAGGAGAAUAAGGUGAGUGUCCACCUCAGCACAAAAAAACAACCAAUAACAAUCUUUCAUAUUACCACGUCGUCACUGCUUUCUCGAGGACAAAAUUCUAAAGAUUGCGUUUGGGCUUUAUAUUAGUUUUAAAGGCCCAUAUGACCUACGACUAUCCUCUUCCACUUCGUCCUCUCUUAUUCCUCUCCAUCCAAUCUCAGUUGUUAUUAAGCCUCAUCUGCUACCAAUCAAUGGUGUUCUUCAAUACCCUUUUAAUGAAUCUGUUUCACCUCCCUCUCAUUUUCCUUCUUUACAAACCACUUCAUUUUAAGUUGGUUCCAUUCAAUCCUGAAAACCUCCUCCCAAAAAAAAAAUUAGCGAAGCAUAUACAAACUUAGUGCUAUGUCAUUGUAUCAUUUUUUUUCUCUUUAGGGUAAAUGUUCCCUUUUCCUUUCAGUUAAGAAAAUGUCUUUCUUCAGACAUAAAUUUCACAGCCAUAAAAACUGGGAAAAUCACCAUUUUGUUGUCGAGGCUUAUAAACCCCAUCUAUCAGGGUGAUUGAUCUACCCAACUUCCCAACUAAUCCAGAAAUGAAUGGCCUAUGAAAGUGUUUUGCUUCAAAAACAGGAAUUUGAUUACUUAUUAUUUUGAGAUUGUUGAAAUGUAUUUUCUUGGCCCUGAUUUAAAUUUCUCACCUUCCAAUUUUACCAGAAAGAGAGCUAUCUUGAUUUGAUUAGCAACAAGGCCGACAUAUCUUUCGCAAAAGAGAAGGGUUUCAGUUUUCAAUAGACGCUGAGAAGAGAGACGACAGAUUUGGAAGUUCCAGCGUGAAAUCAUUUCUAUGGCCAGUGUCCAUAACAGUCUUCAGAGCGUCUGAACUCUCAUAUGUUAUUGGUUCAGAUCAUGGACCGAGGAGGAACGAACGAGAGCUACAGACUACCACUAGGUUACCAUGUCAGUUCUGACUUUGUUAGCCUGUUCUAAUCAUACAGAGGAACACGAAUGUAAAAUUUAGUUUUUUAAAAGCGCUCCAUAUGAUUGGAAACUGUCUCCAUCUUAUUUAGUGUUUCCCAAUUUGUUUCUAUUCUGGAAUCACAGUCCUGCAACUGUAAUUGAGUCUCACCUAAUGGAGUAUAGCUUAAGCAGAUGAUGUGUAAUUGUUGUUUUUCCUUUAAAAGCAUGAGAAUGACUAAAGCUUCAUUUUUAAUUUCUCGAAGAUUUGAUGUCUUUUUAAUAUCUUCACCAUUUUUUGAUCUUUGUCAUGGGAGUAUUAAGAGCUAUAUCCUCAUAAUUUAUUUCAUCCCUAGCAUCUUGAACGAGCUCUGAGUCAAUUCUCUGUCUUAUUGAGUAUGCACAGAAUCCAGAUUCGUUAAAGACAUGUGUUUCAGUUAAAUAAUUUCAGAGUAUUGUGUUGUUCUGGUGCUGGACAAGCCAAAACAUCAUACUCCAGCACUCUAUGGAACCUGCAUAUGGAAACAAUGAAUGUUCCUCAACCGUUUAUGCCUGAUCAAUCAUGGAGCCGAGUGUUCAUAUUUGAUCUCCAAAUCCUAGUGCUUCAGAUGCUAAGUCAGUGUUUAACUACUCCAUACAAACAGUGAAACAAGGGAGGCGUUUACUCUUCGGUUUACGCGUGAUGGGGUUAUAUGUUUAUUUUCUCAUAUAUAUGUAUAUAUAUCUUCCCUGUGGUUUUGAAUUUCUUAGAGUUCAUACAAUCAUAUUCUAAUUCACAGAUUACUCUCUCUCUCUCUCUUCUCUCUUUGUAGUUACAUCAUCUAGCAUCUAAAUAGAAGAAAAAGAACGUGAUGUCAUUAUCAUGUCAUGUGUGCGUGCUUUCCAGUCGCGGCGUUGGGUUCGUUGCUGAUAUACAACGGAUGAAUGUUGCUCUCACACGUGCCAAAAGAGCUCUAUGGGUAUGCACGUACUUAUUUUUCUGUGAUAUAAUAAUAUUUCUGUUUUCUUUUUUCAGACUCUGUUUGUUCUUUGAUCUAUGUAAUUUUUCCAGAUUUUUCACAUACAUGGAGCAUAUCAUAUGUAAGCCUCUCCAACUCCUUUAAAAAAUAGAUAUUUGUCUUCAAGCUUUCAGUUGUACUGUUGGAUAAAGUCAUGUGAACUCUGUUUCUGCAUAUAUAUUUGGUGCUGCAAUUGGCAAAGGAAAACAAGCUGCUAAAACGUAAGCUUUUGGGUGAAUGUGUUUCGUAUAAUCGUAGUAUGAUUUAUGUGUCUGGUAUGAAGCAAUUUCUAACUUCACAGUGAACCAGACAAGUAAAUUAAGAAAAAUCGAAGGAGCUUCUAUGUAAUGGGAUUAAUGAUACCUAACUUAUGUAAUAAACUAUUGUGGUGGUUCUCUUGAAGACUUGUGAUUUAUAAGAAACAGAACUUUGUUACUUUCAGAGUGAAACAGGGCGAGGGAAUGCUAUAAGCUGCGAGGAGCACAUCAGAUGCGAAUCACUCAACGUUUAUGCAGAAAUCAGGAAAAGAGUCAGGGGCAGAGGAAGAGGAAGAAAAGGAUCUAGAGAAUGGAGCAAAUAAAGUGAACAAGAAAGUGAGAGAAAAAUCUAAGAAUAUCAAGAAGUCUUGCCAAAUAUGGUCAUGGUCGUUAUCACAACCAUGAUGUGUACGAAGAAGAAUAUGACGAGCAAGAACCAGAACGGCAAAGUGAGCCAGAUUUGUCAUUUACCUUGAGAAGAUAUUAGCGUUAUUAAUGGUGUCUAUGUUUUACAUCUGAAUAGCAUAGUGUAUAAUCUAGGAGAAGCUACUUUUCCAGCACCGGAGGAGAUCAGUCCACCAGGGACAAAAAGUGUUUUUCUGUUCGUGUCUUCGGAUUAUACCAAAUCCGUCUAACCUGAGACAUUACGAGAUACCUUUUAUGGACACGAGAUGACGGAUACUUCUGAGUUUGGUCUGUUUUUUUAUUUGUAAUGUAUUUUCAAGAAUUGGUUUGAAGAAUAACAUUAUUCUUAUGUUUGAAUCAAUUUUUGCUUCAAUCUUAUGUCUGUUAUGAAACUGUUCAAUGUGGUAUUAGAAAUGAAUGAUUCUAAAGUUAAAACAUAGUUUAAGUUUGCCGUAGAUUUUAUAAUUGUUUUAUACAAACACUAAGUAAAGAUAAAAUGUAUUUACAUCAUAACUAGGUUUAGUUAACUUUUACUCAUCUUACUUAUCAUUCUAUAUAUGACUUCGAGUAAUAACAAACAACGAAUUGUAAGUUAAAUUAUUUUGAAUUUGUUAAACAGAAGGCAAUAAAUAAAUU